This 253-nucleotide ribosomal RNA is filed under the name uncultured bacterium. RNAcentral's name for it is "partial 16S ribosomal RNA". It matches the Rfam family "Bacterial small subunit ribosomal RNA", at positions 524 to 776 of the family's 1533-position model. The record is from RNAcentral.
UACGGGGGGUGCAAGCGUUAUCCGGAUUCACUGGGUUUAAAGGGUGCGUAGGUGGGCUUGUAAGUCAGUGGUGAAAUCUCCGUGCUUAACAUGGAAACUGCCAUUGAUACUAUAGGUCUUGAAUUUUCCGGAGGUCAGCGGAAUAUGUCAUGUAGCGGUGAAAUGCUUAGAUAUGACAUAGAACACCGAUUGCGAAGGCAGCUGACUACAGGGAUAUUGACACUGAGGCACGAAAGCGUGGGGAUCAAACAGG